RNAcentral lists this signal recognition particle RNA (298 nucleotides) under Neogale vison (American mink). RNAcentral's name for it is "Neovison vison (American mink) Metazoan signal recognition particle RNA (ENSNVIG00000014192.1)". It matches the Rfam family "Metazoan signal recognition particle RNA", at positions 1 to 249 of the family's 299-position model. From Rfam's summary of the family: The signal recognition particle (SRP) is a universally conserved ribonucleoprotein. It is involved in the co-translational targeting of proteins to membranes. Lineage: Eukaryota; Metazoa; Chordata; Mammalia; Carnivora; Mustelidae. The record is from RNAcentral.
GCCGGGCGCGGUGGCGCGCGCCUGUAGUCCCAGCUACUCGGGAGGCUGAGGCAGGAGGAUCGCUUGAGCCCAGGAGUUCUGGGAUCGCUUGAGCCCAGGAGUUCUGGGCUGUAGUGCGCUAUGCCGAUCGGGUGUCCGCACUAAGUUCGGCAUCAAUAUGGUGACCUCCCGGGAGCGGGGGACCACCAGGUUGCCUAAGGAGGGGUGAACCGGCCCAGGUCGGAAAAGUGUAACCGAGAGACACCCGACCCUGGAAAAAGCCAGAGGACUGGGGCUUUGCUGUACGGGAACCAGCCAU